CAGACGUCCCGGCUGCUUUUAGCAUCUCAGAAGCCCAAACCGGCUGUGACCAAUAUGGAGGCGAAGCUGAGCUUUCUUUGUCUCCAGCAGGGCAGGCGCUGAGGACUUACACAAAAUAAACAUGCAUCAGGAUCCUCAAAGACAAGAAAAGAUUGAGAAAACAUGGAAGGUGGCAAAGGCUAAGGAGAAAUAACAACUGAAUGUAAAGCGGAUCCUGGAUCAGAAAAAAAGACAUUAGUGGGAAAAUGGCAGAAUUUCCAUUAAGAUCUGCAGCUCAGUUUAUAAUGUUGUACCACCAUGAAGUUCCUGUUCUCAAAAUAUCUACAAUUAGUUAUGUGGUUCCCUUUAGAGCAAGAGGGCUUGUGAGAUGUUAUAAAGACUGUACAUGGCCUAUUGUUGUACCUCUUCUAUAAUAUGAAAGUGAGUUGACAACUCCUUCAGGGACAAUCACAUUCACACAUUCAAUGAAGACUUGAGACAAGGAUCCUACCGCACAUCGUAGGCUCCCCUUGCCACCUCUUCAGACUGACUUUGAGUCAGAGUUCCCUCUUGUCCAGCAAGAGAGUGGAUGCAGAAUUGAAUACAAGAGAGGCUAAUGUCCGGGAGGAGACGAGAGCCCCAAGUAAGGGUCCUUGCUCCAUAUUUAUUAGGAUCAGAAGGCUUACAAACAUGAUGGACAUGCAGAAAGAGACAAUAAAACACUAACCAUUAAUUCAUGUGUGUGAGAGAAAGGGGGUUUCAAAGGUAUGUGGUGUUAGGGGUUUGGGUCAAUACAAAUCAAAGUCCCAGUGCUGAGCAGAUGGCCGUUUACUGCAGCCACCAGGCACUGUGUCUGUUUAUCUUAACUUGUCUAGGGGCUAACCCUGCUGCCUCAGGGUUAACAAGGCAUUUUUCUUGCUAAUUGGCUCUGGACGUUUUUACCCUGCUGCAGGGGCUUUCUGCUUCUACCUGUUCACAGACACUUCCAUCCUGUGGAAGUGACUUUCCGCUCUAUGCUUUCUACACUGGUGGCACUUUCUCCCUGUGCUGGCUUUCCACCCUAAGCCUUGUUAACCCAUUGGUGAAAGCUCAGGAAAUUCUUAAGCUUAUUCCUCACAUUAUUUGUUUCUGUAGGUCUUAAAAUUUUUUGUCUUUCAUUUCCUCCAUUCCUUCCUUUGAGUUUGGCUUUAAAUGUAGAACACUGAAAGCAGCUGUUUUUGCACAUCCUUGGGAUACUCUUGGGAAACAUGGUACUAAAGAAUGUGAGUACAAGUCAAAAACUAUUCAGGAUUACCCAUGUUUCCUUCAGCUUUAGAGGAGAGCUCAGAGGGGGGAAGAAUCGUAGGCUCACUGGGAGGUGUAAACCACCACAAGCCCAGUCAGCAGUUGUGGCUUGAGGGAUGAAAGUCAUCUGACUGGCUCCAUGUUGCCGCAGAGCAGUUGUCCUCUGUGGUAUCCUCAGCACAUAGCAUAGUACAUGGCACACAAUAUGAAUUCAAUAAGAAUUUGGUAGGUGAAUAGAGAAAUUCCACCAAUGGCUCUGUCUGUAGGCUUCAUCUAGUGACUAGCACACAGUAGGAGCUCAAUAAAUAGCAACUGCUAUGGGCAGUUGAGAUGGUAGAGUGGUUAAGUCUCUGAUAUUUGGAAUAAAAGAAAUCACAGCAACUCCACUUAUGUGCUAUUGGGGCUGAGUAGGUCACAUAACCUCUCUGAGAUUCAAUUUCCUCAUAUGUAGGAUGAGAAUUUACAUCAUGGGGUCCAGUGGGGAUUAAAGAAGCUAAUCCAUGAAGAGCCUAGUAUAUGCUGAGUGCCCAGCAAGUUAUAGCUAUUGAAAUUAAUAUUAUUACCAAAAUGUUAAGUAACUCUGGUAAACACUGCUGUUUUCAUUCCAGGAUUUGCAAAACAAGGACUGAGCAGAUCACCUCCACAUUUCUUCCACGCUACAAUUCUGUGAAUUGGAAAUGAGGAGACUUCAGUAGGGUCCAUACCAUAGAGUUGUGAGGGGUGAAUGAGAGAAGCCAUGUAAAGCAUGAAGCCCAGGAAUAGGAACAGUAAGUGUUUGAGAAGUGGAAAUUGCUGUUACCAUUAUCAUCAACAAGAAGCGCAAAAAGUCCAUUUUCCUAAAAAAGAAAUUGUAUAUUUAUAGAAACCACAUUGUUUGAUUUAUCAUUUAUGAUCAGUUUUAAAGAUAUAAGAAGUUUUAAUACUGGCGUCAAAUGUGAAUUUUCUUUAUUAAAAUAUAAACAAAAAUAAACCCAUGUGUCAGCUGAGAGAGGGGGAUGUUUGUUAUUCAGUGGGCCACAGAGGGACCUUGUUUUAUUUCAUGUUGUCAUGGUCUCAGAGAAACCUUGUCUGAUAUGAUGUCUGUGAGAUUGUUUAUGUCCAACAGGAGGAAAGAAUGGCCUGGUAGUGAACAUCAGCCCUGUUUCCAAAUGUUGGGGGAAUUCCUUUCUCACAACUUUUCAUUCACAUUCAUGCAGCAGACAUUUAGUGAGCACCUACUAGAUGCCAGGCCACGCAGCAGUGAUGGUGAAUACAGGGGUAAACAAUACUCUCUACACGUUAGACUUCCCAGCAUGCAGGAAAAGAGCAGGGGAAAAGUUAGAAAAGGGGAAGAACAGGUGCAGCCAUCUGAAGGGCCAGAGAAGAUUCCCUGAAGAGGAAGUAAUACCAAGUAGGAAAAGCACGGAUGAGUCUGGAGGUGGGGGCAGCCUCUGGGGAAAACUAGUGCGUUUCUAACAGAAAGGGAUAGCUUUAAAAGAUGACGCUGCAGAGCUAAGCAAGAGCUAAACCUCUGGUAAACCUUAACAAUGUUAAGGAUUUUCAAGGUAUGUGGCUUAAAAAAAAAGGAAAAGGAAAAGAAAAAGAACAAAAAGGCAAGUGUUUUAUAAUUUUUAGUACAAACUUUGCUUUACUGUGCAGAUCUUUAAAAAUAUAGGUGGUAGAGAUAUAGAUACUGAUAUAUCAGCAUAGCAAUAUAUCUAAAAUAUAUUAAUUUUUAAAAGUAAGUUUCUUAAGAGUAUGUACAAGAGGCUACAAUUAAAAAAUAUAAAUAUGGACACCACGAAUGCCCAAACACAAGGUGACCCCAAAUCUAAGGUACUUUUUCCAAUGCAGUAAUAUUUCACAGUGAGCCAGGAAGAUUUUGUUGGGAUUGUCCUGAUUGUAUAAAUUUUUAGGGAAAUGAGAUAUGUACUUAUAAUAUGUAUUAGUUUAGAUGAAUUAUAUAUUUAAAUUGAAUGAAUAAUAUAUAAAUUUUGGUCUUUUCCAAUUUCAUGUUUUGAAAAAAAAUUUUUUUUAACUCUCUACAAGUAGCAGUGUUUUUCUCAUCCCCAAAGCAAUUUUUUGAUAAUUUUUAAAUGUUUAUUUAUAUUUGAGAGAGAGUGCACAUGCAUGCACGAGUGGGGGAGGGGCAGAGAGAUGGAGACAGAAUCUGAAACAGGCUCCAGGCUUGGAGCUGUCAGCACAGAGCCCAACAGGGGGCUCAAACUCACAAGAUCAUGACCUGAGCUAAAGGCAGACACUUAACCAAUUGAGCCACCCAGGCACCUCCCCCAAAGCUAUUUUUGAGGUUUGUAAGCCAGUUUUCCAGGGUCCAUCAUUUUCUCUUCUAAGUAGAAUAAGAAGUGGAAUCUGAACAUUAUUGACAAUGAUGCAUUCAUUGCAUGCAUUCAUGUGACAUUAAUACAUUUUUCUAUUUAUCCUGUAGAUACGUAUAUAUUUUAAGUAAUGUGUACACUCAAUGUGGGGCUCUAACUCAUGACCCCAAGAUCAAGAGUUGCAUGCUCCCCCAAAUGAGCCAGCCAGGCACCCCUAUAGGUAUAUAUUUCUUAUCUUCAAAAUAUCAAAAUAGGAUUUCCUAUUUAAAUAAUUGUUAAAAUACUUGUGUGCAAUGCUAUCCAGUCUAUGCAAAUGUACAGUCAUCUUCCCAGGAAUAACUGCCAAAUCUGAACUAAGUUUCUCUGCCACUUGUUUGACUAAUUUC
Molecule: long non-coding RNA, 3964 nt
Organism: Neofelis nebulosa (Clouded leopard)
Lineage: Eukaryota; Metazoa; Chordata; Mammalia; Carnivora; Felidae
Exons: 5
Source: RefSeq, a predicted model, not a curated record